GAUGGCUUAGACAUUAGAAUAUGUGUCGGCUGCAAGAUUUUAGAUGCAGUAUAUUUAUGUAUCUAGCUAGCUAGCUAUCUUAUGUGUUUAUUAUAUAUAAUUUUAUUAUAUAUCAUUGUUUGGUUUUUUUAUAUGGACCCAAAGGUAUUCACACAGAUAAUAUAAAGGUGCAUUCUUUCUUCUGUUUCUGUCCAUCUCCUUCAUCCUCUUUACUCCGUUCUAAUUCCUGUUGUUUCUUGCUACUGUUUGCUAAAUCUUGCCUUAUUUUAAGAGUAAGUUUGGGGUGGGGAAGAUUAGGGACUGUCUUUCACUGUACAGGACCUAGCACAAAGGGUCCAUAUCCACAAUAGGGCCUCCUGACAUUACUGUAAUGUAAAAGAUAAAUGUUUAAUAAUAAUUCUGAUUAAAUGUGCUAGCAUAUUUUAACUAGUAUAACAUAUUUUGCAGUUGUAAAAUAACUCAUAGCCUAAAAGUGACUUGCAAAAGUGAUGUGUAAAAUUAUAAUUAUGAAGUUAGCACAACAUUUACAACAUACAUUGGAAUUUACAAUUUAUUUCCUCAUAGUAAAGAUUAGUUGUUCUUCUUUAAGAGGGGAAUUGGUCCUGUUAAGCAGCAGACACCAUUCCCAGCAGGCAAAAACCUUUGUAAAGAGAAAAUAAAACUCAGUUUUUACUACUUCUUUCUUUUAACUCUCACAAUCAUGUCUCAUUUUAUGAAGCAGCAGGCCUGGAUUUGCAGUGCAUCAUUUCUCUGCAUGGUCUGCAAUGACAGAUACAAGCUGAUAUCUGUGCAAGCAAAGCUUUUUCUCCAGUAACAUGCCUAAUGGUUGGAUUCAGUCUAGACCAGACUAGAUGGGUCAUAAAACACUUUAAACUCCAUUCAAAGGAUGCUAAACUACUGAAGUUGUAUUUUUGUUUAUUAUUAUAAGCUAGAUCUCUGUUGGAUUAAAAAAAAAAAGUUGCACUACUGAGGAAAUCAAGAUGAGAAAAGUUACUCUCAAGUUCCGCCAAUGUAACAGCGCAUACAUGCUAACAUGUGGUAAAUAUCUAUGUACCUGCUAGCAUGCUGCAUGCAAUUUUCAUGUAGCUAUUUGUCCUUAACUGAAAAUCAUUGAAAAUUGAGAUCAUAGAGCCCAAAGGGACUGUAAAUUGUCACCCAGUAGAUAUUUAAAGAUUUCUAUGCAAUGUUCUGUUUCAUUCUAUUUUUCUUUGUAUCCCUCCCAUAAAACUGCCAUCCUCACAAUUAGCGCUAACAGAAAGCCGUGUUGAUAGUUACAACAAAUGGUAAACAAGGAUUCAAUAAACAUGAAGCAGAACAAUCUUCACACAUCUAUUCAUGUUUCCUCAUCUAAAAUGAACUAGAACCUUUUUCAGGGCUUGGCUAUGUUCAGAUAAGCAAACUGUCUUCCUGUUUUGUCAAGGACAUUCAGGGUUGAAUUAUGGGAUGAGGGUCUCAUGUCUCAGACUGUAAAAUCCCUUUUUUACACUCCACAGUGCAUCUAACAGGGAGGAACCAGCCUGAAUAGAACUGUUUCAGAGACGGAGGAAAUGUAUCAGAAGAUCUACCACCUUUACCAAGCACCAUUAUUUUUCAACAAACAAAAAGAAAAACCUAUCUCCAAAUUCAACCACUCCAUAGAGGAACAGCACUGAAGGAAAGAGAAGACCUUAAUCAAAAGUUCUAUACUCCUGCCCUUCCCAGAAUGCUUGGAGAUUCACAGGAAUGUCCUCCUUCCUCCAGGCUUCCAGGUGACCAAGCUUGCUCUGUGGUCUGUUGUCCUAUUCAAUGUUAAGCAGCUGAAAAGAGGAGUAGGAAAAGCCAAACCAAUGCUGGGUCAACUGAUGGAAGCUACCUCUGAUGCUCACUCUUGCUGAAACGUCCAAGGAAAAGCAAGGAGGCAAGGUGGUUGUGCAGCAACUGCUCUUUUGGUUGUGAAGAGGUCAAGCCAUUUCCAGUGGUUGCUCCAGAAGCUGUUAGCCUCUUGUGAGUGUGUUGGGGUCAAUAGAGACCCUUUAAAUGAAACAAGAGGGUAGGCCUAUUCCAUAUAAGGCCUGAUUCCUUUCCUAUUUUCAGAGAGUUCCAAUCUGGACACAGUUAAUAAGAAAGCCCUUUCUAUGAAGAGAAAGCCCUUUGCUGUAGGAUAUGUAUACCUGAUCUAUAAGAGAUUUUUUCUUCCUUUCUUUUCCAUUUGUGAUACUAUUCAUAUGGUUCCAAAGUGUACUGUAGCUUGUUAACCUGCAGAACAUGUUACAACUCAACAUGCUUUGGCAUAAUCUAAGGUCAUGUUUACAUUAGGUAGGUUACACCAUGAAAUGCAGAGCUCACCAUUUAUAGCAAAGUGCAACUAUGAAUUAAAUAGCCAAAUAGGGAUGACAGCUACAAACCAGAAGAUGAGUACAUAAGCUACUAAUAUAUACUAAAUUGGUUUAUUUUGUAACUAGAAACGUAUGUGAUUCUUUCUAUUUAAUCUGUCUUGAUUUGGUGUCAUAUGUUGUUGCUUGGUUAUUUACAUCUAGCACAGAAUAAUUUCAAAUCCCAUGUUUCUUAUCUUUACAGGGGCUUUUUGACUUCAUGUAUUUCGAGAGAAGAUGCUCUGACUCAGAGUAUACUCUUCCUCUUUCACUUCACACCUCUAGUUUACCAAACAAUGUCAUAAUCUCUUGUGACAUCAUACAUUAUCAUUCCUUUACAGCAACAGAGUUAGAUCCCAUAAACAAGAAUCAUUAAGACUACUGACCAAACAAGCAGGGGGUGUUAUUAAAGAAGGCUUCUACUUGCAUGUGUUUAUCAUUUAUUGGUUUUCAUUGUGAGUGCUAGCACUAGACCUACAUACCAGGCUGCUGACUUGCCCUCUUUCUGCAUCACACAGUACUCCAACACAGAGCUGGGUUUUAAAUAAGUAUUUAAAGAAGAGUUCAUAAGAAGAAGAAAUAUGACUGUUAAUCCCAUUCAUGUAAUUAGGAGGCAGACCUCCUAACUGGAACCAUAUAACUAUUUUUAUCUCUGCCCUGAAAAUGAUAGUAGCAGAAGUGACAAAUAUUACGAAUCCUGAUAAACUAUUUGUUUCUCUUAUAGUAGCAACUGCAGGCUUCAGUCCAAGUUAGGACUGUGUACUAAGGCUAGAGUUCUGACUGCUGUAGUCUGAGUAGAAGCCUGUGGGCCAUUUGCAGUCUCCAGGCUCCCGGUCCAGGGGCUGCUCCUUCCAUUCUCUUGCUGUUGCUGCCAGUCUUUGGGCUCCCCCUCCACCUUCUCCUGCCUGCCCUCACCCCUGGGGACAUCCCAUGGAGCUGAGGGAGCCCACACAGCUGAGGAAUCCAGGGAACUCGGAGACCCUGUGUGGGGUGGAAUCCAUGUAGCAUGGCAGGAGAGGCCUGUGAUACAUGAUGGAGUCCAGGGGUGCCAAUGUAGCUUGUAGCCAUGUGGGGUGUUGGGGCAAGGCAAUAUGCCACCAUGGAUACUCAGAACUUGACCAGACCUGUUGUAGAUGAAGGACAAAUGCAGCUGGCAGUUAUCUGAAUCUUCGUAGAGAGCCGUUCAUCAGAAAGGCAUUCAAAUACCCAAAUACAUUCAGAUUUUGUUUGAGGUCAUCUGUUGACACAGCUUCUGAUUGGUUUAUCAUAAUAGAUUCUCUUGGGUGUUGACCAAGCUACUUGUUGCAUGUAUUGUAUUUGUGUAUAAUGUGCUACGCAAGCACCAGUUUGCUCAUUGUGGCUAGUAGCUAGAAUGUAUGUAGAAAUAUCAAAUCAUUAUGGUAAUGACUAUUUUGCUGUAUGCGAGGAUGUACUGUAGAACAAGUGAAUCUUAACUCUGCUUACCUGGAAAUUAAUUCCUUACUGGGUUUUAUUUGAGAUACUAUUGACCUAGGACUAGUGACCUAGGACUUACAUGAUAACUGGAGGAACUGAUAGCUUUUGAACACUUCUUGAUUGUCUUUAUUAUAUAGAACUGACUGUUUUUAGUCCUCAUGGUCCUUGGUCCUAUGGGGAAAGAAGAGUAGCACUGGCAUGUCUAUGUAUUAAUAGAAGGCAGGUUAGAUUUGCACCUUAUGGACUAGCCAAAUGCAGAGUUCACAGCAUCUGAUGAAGUGAGCCACAGCUCACAAAAGUUUGUGCUAUACACACACACACAAUCUCUACCUUGGUUAAUCUAUAAGGUGAAAAUCUACCCUGCCUUCUAGUUGACUUCAGACUAACACAGCUACCUAUGUGUCGCGGCACACCUCGCUGCCCCGCUCCCAGAGAGGGGAAAACUGGCAGGGGAGAAGCUCUGGUAGUGCAUAAGGAGCCCUAGUGGUGAUUAGGGUGUACAGGUGUGGGUUGCCAGGGCAACUAAUGUGAAUCAGCUGCCUGUAGGAGGCAGGGUGGAAGCUAGGCUGGCAGUUUCCUGCUAGCAGUCAGAGGGGCAGGAGUUCACGGAGCUAGGAUACGAGUAUCGCUGGAGCAGACUGAAGGGAAGUGGCUCUGGAGACUGCAAUGAUGUUGUUACAGCCAGGAGGCCUCAAGUUAAGUUAUAGCCUGGAAGCUUGUGUUUUGUGUUGUUAAUGUUUGUAUUACACUGGUGGUUUGGGUGAGGCUAUUAGGGGUUGGAGGAGGCCUCAUUGGGGACUCUCAAGAGAGUGUGAGGACCCCAGCACCAGUAAGGGCACAAUUUACGGGGUGCGUAGACCCCAGCCCCAGAGAGGGGCGUUUUGAGAAGCCCCAGCACGGGCACAAUGAGCCCCAGGAGGGGGCACUACUAGGAAGCCUGAGCGUGGGCGUGGCGAGCCCCAGGAAGGGGAGAGAGCAUUUCAGAGAAGCCCAGUGUGGGCACAGCCAACCCCAGAGAAGGGGCGGCCCUAUUAGGGAGCCUAGCGUGGGCACAGCCAGCCCCAGAGAGGGGGUGGCAUUAUUACUGGGGAGCCUGGUGCGGGCGUGUAGAGUCCCAGAAAAAGGGGGGACUAUUGAGAAGCCCCAGUGUGGGCACGGCGAGCCCCGAAGAGGGGGAGCACCUUAUUGAGGAGCCCGAGACGGGCGUAGCGCGCCCGGUUGAAGGCUAGCACAGCGGUAGACCUCAGACGGGUAAGGUGCUGCGGUGGGCCACGACGAAAGGGGUUAGCAGUACGGCACCCCAGGAGCAGGGCAAGGUGCUGCGGUGGUCCCUGGCUAAAAGGGAUAGCAGUGCGGUGAGCCCGCAUAAGAGAGGGUAGCAGUGCGGUGGGCCUAGAGGACCGGAGACUUGGGAGCAAGUCCCGGAGCAGGCUAGGUUAUUUUAGAGAAGAUCCCCAGAGAAGGGGGGCAACAUUGCAGGAAGGCCCCAAGUGGGCUCGGAGAGCUCAGGAGGGGGCAGUACAACAGAGAAGGCCCGGGAGAGUGGGCAAGUUGAUUUUGACAGACCAACGUCCAGUACAUCUGCAAGGCUUGGGGCAUGGCAUUAGGGGUUGGUAGGAGCCAUGCAUAGCCCAUAAGGCUAGGGUGCCUGGAACGCACCCAGUGUACCGGGAGACUCCUGGUGGGGUCCGGGAGAACACGGGGACGGAAGUCCCAGCUAACCGUGCCGAGGAGACGUAAGGCAGCCUCCCAACAUAUAUACUGAACAUAGAAGACAUGGCGGGCGAGAAUAGAGGGUGCCUUUGGGCCGAACUGGCAUGGAGAGAGGGCCUUAAGGAGAUCGUGGCCCUCCUGCAGGACCCCGCUGUGACAUUGUCUAUUAACUGGAUAAUCAUCAAAGACUACCAAUACCUGUACAGCUUUUAGAGGGGCAUGAGGGAGGAGGGGAUAAAAGAAAAAGAAUAAAAGUGCAUCAUAGAUAAAACGUCUCUCCCUGCUAAGUAAUAGGAUCUGCAGUAAUGAACAAAGAGAUCACAUGUCAGAGCAAGGUCUUAAAAACUUGAAGGGGCUCACUAAGACGAAGGAAACCUGGGUAGGAGAGAAGAAGAGAGGGACAUGGUUUCAUAAUAAUGGACUCCUUUUCAACUUCACCAGUUGGGGAAGAAGGAGGCUGACUACAAAAAAGAAACUCCAGGAUUCAGGGGAGACUGUUAUGCAGGAGGGAAGUCCUUGAAGUACUCUGAUCUAAGCCCAUAGAACAAUUGAGUGAUUAAGAGACUAAGGACAAGGAAAUGCCUACAAGUUUUGUCAUGGUUUUGUUCAGGACUGCGUAUCUCUUAUGCUCUCUGUAGUAAGAGUGAGCCUUUUGAGUCUUUCAAAACCUGUGAGACUACUAGUUUCUGCUGUCAUGUGUCCCUGGAGAGUUGAACUGUAAAAUGAGAAUGAAAUUCUUGAAACUCAAUAAAAGUUGCUCUUAAACUACUGGGAAGCCUGGAUGUGUUAGUCCAAGUUGGGGGCCCAAGUGAGCUAUAGUGUGAGGUCCCAUUUCUGUAAAGGGUGAAAUGGGCAGGGGAACUCUGCCCAAGAGGUGCAUCGGAGAGGUCAGUGCUGCAUACUAUGAGGACCAAAGGAAGUGUAUAGGACAUGGUCCUAGGGCAUGCAGCCCAAGUGCAGAAGCCUGGUAAUUGUCCAGCAGGGACAGCUUCACCAGGACUGCAACAGCUUUUGUUUUAGUUGCUCUAGUAAAACACUGGAAGGAGAAAAAAAGAAGAGUUGCAGAUUCUAUCUGAAAACCAAGACCAUGUGCAACUGUGGGAUGCUAUUUGACUUCUUUAAGGCCUUGCUGUCAAAAUGAGUACAAAGAUCACUUGGCAGUAGUAGUUGCUUUUUUAGUAGAGUUGCAUUUUGGUUGGCAAAACCUCAAAAAGAAACCCCUUCCGACUCUUUCACUGAUGUAUAUUUUUUUGUAUCUAUUUAUCACUGCCACUAGCAUUUUGUUUAGUCUUCAAGGAAAGGUUGUCAUUCCAAUGUCGGAUGCUUUUACAUCUACAUCCAUCAUUGCCUGAUGUAUCUCUGACCUUAGUUAAAACUUAUGUUUUCUAAAUUGUACUUUUAUGUUUAGCAAGCCCUUGGGCUACAUUGUUAAAGUUUACAUUGAAAAAUCAUUUAUAAUUGGUUUGUUUGAAUUAUGCUUUCUGCAAAGCCAUCAAGAAGGGCAGUAUUAAUUAACAGUGGCUUACAUAAAGUCUAGACAAUAAAAAAAAAAAGUAAAUCAUUUUAGCUUUUUUAAAAAGCUUUUAGUAUUUUACCAGUUAUAACAAAUAAUACUGAUAUAAAUUACAUCUAAGAGAGAAUGCACUGAAUGAUCUACAAAAAGCUGUCCAUUUGAACCAUUUAUUUUUCCUGGAAAUAUUUUCAUGAUAGACACAUGUUGUACAAACAAAAAUAUGUUUAUUGUGAAACAGAGAGCCAACAAAAAUGUUAAUGAAUUCCAUUUGUUGUGUACUCACUUGGUUGGAUGAUUAAAUCGAUUUUUAGGUAAUACAUAAUGUCCUAAGUAACAUUACAAAAGACUUGUUUUUUAUUUUAAGGUAUAUAAUGAUGAUGAUUACACAGCAGAUUUAUAUAUGAUGGACAACAGAGAAUAUGAGGAGUCUUUCCAAGGUUGUAUGCACACUGUCCUCAAUUAAGUGCAUAGUUCCACUAAAGUUAAUGGAAUUACUUGUAUGAGUAAGGCACAGAGACUGAGCCCUUAUUUCUUUAUUUCUUCAGUAACUGGUUGACAAUAGGGUUGCAAAGAGGUAUUAAAGUUGCAUUAAUGAGUCAUUACAGCUACUUAAUAUUCAUUAACAAUAUAGCUGUGAAGAAGCAAAA
Long non-coding RNA from Alligator mississippiensis (American alligator), 7679 nucleotides. RefSeq lists it as uncharacterized. The record is from RefSeq and is a predicted model, not a curated record. Lineage: Eukaryota; Metazoa; Chordata; Crocodylia; Alligatoridae. The transcript is spliced from 4 exons.